Molecule: ribosomal RNA, 916 nt
Filed under: uncultured bacterium
Lineage: Bacteria
Description: bacterial SSU rRNA
Rfam family: Bacterial small subunit ribosomal RNA
Source: RNAcentral
UUGUUGGUAAGGUAAAAGCUUACCAAGGCUUCGAUCAGUAGCUGGUCUGAGAGGACGACCAGCCACACUGGGACUGAGACACGGCCCAGACUCCUACGGGAGGCAGCAGUGGGGAAUUUUGGACAAUGGGGGCAACCCUGAUCCAGCCAUGCCGCGUGAGUGAAGAAGGCYUUCGGGUUGUAAAGCUCUUUCAGCCGGAACGAAACGGUUACGGAUAACACCCGUGACUACUGACGGUACCGGAAGAAGAAGCACCGGCUAACUACGUGCCAGCAGCCGCGGUAAUACGUAGGGUGCGAGCGUUAAUCGGAAUUACUGGGCGUAAAGCGUGCGCAGGUGGUUUUGUAAGUCAGAUGUGAAAGCCCCGGGCUCAACCUGGGAACUGCGUUUGAAACUACAAGACUAGAGUGUGGCAGAGGGGGGUGGAAUUCCGCGUGUAGCAGUGAAAUGCGUAGAGAUGUGGAGGAACACCGAUGGCGAAGGCAGCCCCCUGGGUCAACACUGACGCUCAGGCACGAAAGCAUGGGGAGCAAACAGGAUUAGAUACCCUGGUAGUCCAUGCCCUAAACGAUGUCAACUAGUUGUCGGGCCUUUACGGGCUUGGUAACGUAGCUAACGCGUGAAGUUGACCGCCUGGGGAGUACGAUCGCAAGAUUAAAACUCAAAUGAAUUGACGGGGACCCGCACAAGCGGUGGAUUAUGUGGAUUAAUUCGAUGCAACGCGAAAAGCCUUACCUACCCUUGACAUGUAUCGAAGCCCGCAGAAAAGCGGGGGUGCCCGAAAGGGAACGAUAACACAGGUGCUGCAUGGCUGUCGUCAGCUCGUGUCGUGAGAUGUUGGGUUAAGUCCCGCAACGAGCGCAACCCUUGUCAUUAAUUGCCAUCAUUUAGUUGGGCACUUUAAUGAGACUGCCGG